This 973-nucleotide long non-coding RNA is filed under the name Salmo salar (Atlantic salmon). RNAcentral describes it as "lncRNA (ENSSSAG00000089134.1)". The record is from RNAcentral. Lineage: Eukaryota; Metazoa; Chordata; Actinopteri; Salmoniformes; Salmonidae.
UGAGUUUUGUCUUCAUUGUUUAUCUCGACAUAGGAUAGGUUGUGUGAAAAUAUUACUGAUGUUUAACGUUAAAAAUGGACCAAAAGAUUAAUGCUAAACAACAUUUGACAUGUUUGAACGAACAUAAAUAGAUUAUUUACUAGUUUUUUUUAGCUUUUCGGCAUGAUUUUACAGUCCCCCCACCACGUUUUGUGGGAGCAUAAUGAACGCUAAGUACUUGGUGUUAUUUGGACAUAAAUUAUGAACUUUGUCAAAAGAAACCACAUUUGUUCCGGACCUGGGAUGCCUUCCGGACCUGGGAUGCCUGUCUUCUGAUGGAGAUAAUCAAAGUUUUCUUGAAAGCACCAUAAAUCCAGAGAAUGACAGAAUUAAUUGAUGGCAAAAUGUGAUGACAAACUUUGUCCACGAAGGACUGCCACGCCACCUUCCUGUUCAAGAGAGCACAGCACAACAAGCAGCAACAGGGGCCCGUCUGUGCGAGGAGAGAGGAACAUGAAUUCAAUCAAACCAACAAUGCUUUCAAAAAGCUAUCAGGCAGCUAGCGGAGAGGGCAGUCUCCUCUCCUCCUUUCCCAAUUUCUACUCACUCCACCUCUCCGUUUGGAGGCCUGUGCCUCUUCACUUCUGGAGCAUCAUGGAGGAACCUCAGGGGGAAGAGGGGGAGAGAGAGAGAGACAGAGAGAGAGAGAGAGAGAGAGAGAGAGAGCACCUGCAGAUGGAAAUGAAAACGGACCCACAACAACAACCACUUCACAAGUCAACCAGUGGAAAUGUAACCCUCUUGGCUUGGGUAGACCCAACCCACCCCUUGUCCUAUAUACACUGAGAGGUGUCUAUCGGAUUCCGCGAUCAAGAUGCGAUUACAACGACUUCCAACGACUUCCUUCUCAGUGAAUGGGGGGGAUGCAGAUGUCAGCCCGGCCCUUCAGUGAAGCAGAACAAUAGCCUCAAAGGCUCCUUCCACACAAUAGACC